CGUUGCUACCCCAAACGCCCCCGUUUCAUGCCCACUUGAUCAUAACCGUUGAAUUUUUAUCAUCCAACGGUUCACGUUAAUUACCGCCAUUUUAGUAUACCCAAACCUUAAGCCCGCCCCCUCCAAGUCACCCUCGUCUCUCUCACCCCCUAAACUCUAGAGAUAGUCACCAUUAUCCUCCUCCGCCUUCUGGUGGCGGCCGGCUCCAUUCACCACAAAAAUAAUACCACCGAACCGCCACAUCCCCCUCUUUCCAAAUCCUAGGUUAGAUUCCCUCAAAUCUUGCUCAAACCUCUCGAAUAUUAGAUCCAAAUUCAAGCCCUAAUAGUUUAAAAGUAGAUAUGGUCCAAAUUGGUGGCAUGCAUCGGCUCAGGAAGGCUGAAUCACUACAAAAUUGAUGUCAUUCGCUCUUUCUUGACAGAGAAAAGCGAUUGGUAUCAGUUUUGUGCGAAUCAAUUCAUCAGGUUUCAAUUUUGAGUGUAGCAAGUUGAGUUUUAUUUUUCUUUUCGCAAAGUUUCAUUGGUGUGUUCUUCUCCUCUUCUUAUUCUUCUAGGAUUGUUCUAAUGAUUUGUUCUUGGUCUGUAUGUUUGAAGAAUUUCGAACUCUGUUUUGUUUUUCCUUUUAUAUCAAUUCAAUGAUCGUUUGUUAGUUUUUCAGUUUUGCUUCUCAAAUUUUAGUUAAGGUUAAAUUGUUGUCCUUUUAUGAUUAAGGUUGUGGCAUGUUCUAUUCAUUAGCUUAAGUAGAGUGUUGUCAAUUUAUAAAUUUUGUUAGCUUUGUUAUGGUAUCUAACUUGAAAGAGAUUCAAUGGGGAUUACAGAUUUAUA
Molecule: long non-coding RNA, 824 nt
Filed under: Nicotiana benthamiana
Lineage: Eukaryota; Viridiplantae; Streptophyta; Magnoliopsida; Solanales; Solanaceae
Description: long non-coding RNA (NBEN_LNC027390)
Source: RNAcentral